RNAcentral lists this ribosomal RNA (434 nucleotides) under Ariamnes attenuata. Its description in RNAcentral is "partial 16S ribosomal RNA". The stretch from base 190 to 434 matches the Rfam family "Bacterial large subunit ribosomal RNA", at positions 2079 to 2600 of the family's 2925-position model. Lineage: Eukaryota; Metazoa; Arthropoda; Arachnida; Araneae; Theridiidae. The record is from RNAcentral.
CUUAUAGAUUUUUAUUAUAAGUAAAACCUGCUCAAUGAUAAAUUUAAUAGCCGCAAUUUUGUGCUAAGGUAGCAUAAUCAUUUGUUUUUUAAUUUAAAACUAGAAUGAAAGGUUUAACAUUUAAAUUUCUAUAUUUUUUUUAUUUUAUAAAAUUAUACUAAAUAUAAAAAUAUAUUUAUUAUUUAAUUAGACGACAAGACCCUAUUGAACUUUACUUAUGUUUAGCUGGGGCAGCUUUUAAAACAUUAUUUUUAUUUAUUUUCAAAAAAUUUUCCAAUAUAAUUGAUACUUAAUCAAGUUACCAUAGGGAUAACAGCGUAAUUUUUAUAUAAAGUUCUUAUUUUCAUAAAAGUUUGCGACCUCGAUGUUGAAUUAAGUUACUUUUUUUCGCAAUAGAAAUUUAAGUAGGUCUGUUCGACCUUUAAAAUUUUACA